RNAcentral lists this transfer RNA (78 nucleotides) under Pseudomonas migulae. RNAcentral describes it as "tRNA-Leu". The record is from RNAcentral. Lineage: Bacteria; Pseudomonadati; Pseudomonadota; Gammaproteobacteria; Pseudomonadales; Pseudomonadaceae.
GGAGCGGUAGUCCAGUCGGCAAGUCGCCGGUCCGAGACGCCGAGGGUCGCAAGUUCGAACCCUUGGUCCGCUCCGCCA